AGCGAACGUUUGCGGCGGGCCUAACACAUGCAAGUCGAACGAUAACCCAGCUUGCUGGGGGAAAGUGGCGCACGGGUGCGUAACACGUGGGUAAUCAACCCUUUGGAUCGGGACAACCCGGGGAAACUCGGGCUAAUACCGGAUAAGUCGUGGGAGCUCUCGGGCACCCACGGGAAAGGUCCGCAAGGGCUACCAAUGGACGAGCUCGCGGCCCAUCAGCUUGUUGGUGAGGUAAUGGCUCACCAAGGCUAAGACGGGUAGCUGGUCUGAGAGGAUGAUCAGCCACACUGGAACUGAGACGA
This 302-nucleotide ribosomal RNA is filed under the name uncultured bacterium. RNAcentral's name for it is "bacterial SSU rRNA". It matches the Rfam family "Bacterial small subunit ribosomal RNA", at positions 29 to 327 of the family's 1533-position model. The record is from RNAcentral.